GGAAACUUGGUAAAUACAGAAAUGUGAAAGAAGGAAAAUAACCAUCCACCACUCAAAGACAAUCACUUUUGACAUCUUGAUGUGGAAACUCAGUUCUGAAGAAGCAAAGUGAUCCUUUCAAGCAUAUAUAUUGGUCAGAAGGCUGAGAAGUCCGAGAUCAAGGCACUGGCAGAUUCAUUGUCUGGUUAGCACCUUGGUGCACACCUUCUGGGAAGUCUACAGGUCCACCCCGUUCUACCACCUGGGAGGGAGAAGAGCUGGUCCUGGCCCAUCCAUCCACCACACAGCCGAUAUCAACUGAGUGUCUGAUACUUCGCUCCGGUGAGCAU
Prionailurus viverrinus (fishing cat) is the source of this 329-nucleotide long non-coding RNA. RefSeq lists it as uncharacterized. The record is from RefSeq and is a predicted model, not a curated record. Lineage: Eukaryota; Metazoa; Chordata; Mammalia; Carnivora; Felidae. The transcript is spliced from 4 exons.